UACAGAGGUGCCAAGCGUUAGGCGGAAUCACUGGGCUUAAAGCGUGUGUAGGCGGAUGUCUAAGUACCUUGUGAAAUCCCACAGCUCAACUGUGGAACUGCUCGGUAUACUGGACGUCUUGAGCCACUUAGGGGUUACCGGAACAAAUGGUGGAGCGGUGAAAUGCGUAGAUAUCAUUUGGAACGCCAAUGGUGAAAACAGGUAACUGGGAGUGUGCUGACGCUGAGACACGAAAGCGUGGGGAGCAAACAGG
This 253-nucleotide ribosomal RNA is filed under the name uncultured bacterium. RNAcentral describes it as "partial 16S ribosomal RNA". It matches the Rfam family "Bacterial small subunit ribosomal RNA", at positions 524 to 776 of the family's 1533-position model. The record is from RNAcentral.